ACAGGUGGUGCAUGGUUGUCGUCAGCUCGUGUCGUGAGAUGUUGGGUUAAGUCCCGCAACGAGCGCAACCCCUAUCCUCAGUAGCCAGCAUUUAAGGUGGGCACUCUGGGGAGACUGCCAGGGAUAACCUGGAGGAAGGCGGGGAUGACGUCAAAUCAUCAUGCCCCUUAUGAUUUGGGCUACACACGUGCUACAAUGGCGUAAACAAAGGGAAGCGAGAUUGUGAGAUGGAGCAAAUCCCAAAAAUAACGUCCCAGUUCGGACUGUAGUCUGCAACCCGACUACACGAAGCUGGAAUCGCUAGUAAUCGCGGAUCAGAAUGCCGCGGUGAAUACGUUCCCGGGUCUUGUACACACCGCCCGUCACACCAUGGGAGUCAGUAACGCCCGAAGUCAGUGACCUAACUGCAAAGAAGGAGC
This 419-nucleotide ribosomal RNA is filed under the name Blautia wexlerae. RNAcentral describes it as "bacterial SSU rRNA". It matches the Rfam family "Bacterial small subunit ribosomal RNA", at positions 1034 to 1453 of the family's 1533-position model. The record is from RNAcentral. Lineage: Bacteria; Bacillati; Bacillota; Clostridia; Lachnospirales; Lachnospiraceae.